CCAGAAUCCUCUACGCCAAAGCAAUUCACAUGUGAUUACAGCAUUGCUUAAGUCCUCUGCUUCCUGAGUCUUCCAGCAAGACUAAUGGCCUGAGAGCAUCAGCCAGUGGGUGAGGGCCAGUGUCCUGACUGCUGACAAGUGGCCAUCUUAGAGAAGCUACCAGAGAGCCAAAGCACUAAUGGCUGCCUCAUCUUGGAUGCCACAACAUUGAAAUUGAUAAUGAGCUGGAACCAGGAAACCUUUGCAGGCCUGAGCAUUCUCACUCCGCCUCAACCCCCAAACCAGAGCAUCACGGAUAUGCCAACAGCCAGGGCACAACCCAGCCCAUUGGAUAAAUGUUUUCUGGCUUCCCUUUUUUUCCAUGGCAAAGGGGGAAUGCAAGGUGAAGGCUGCAACAGACAGUGGCCCAGGAUUUCAAACCCUGUUCCUGGAAGCAGCAGAUGGCUGCAGGAGGAUGAGGACCAGCCAGGCCAGAACCUUUGCUGGCAAGCCACUCUUCUUUUUCAAGACAGUGCUCACUGUGACAGCUGACAGUGUUGGCACUCCACCCAGAUCCUCUGGCUCCCUUUUGACCCUCUGGUUAUACACCCUGCUCUUCUCACUGUGAUUUUCUUCCAAACAUUCAGCACCUAUGAUUAGCUUCAGGAGAACAGCGUUCAGAGGAAGAGAAGGAAGCUACUCGGCACAGAGGGAUAAGAAAUUAUCCAGUAAUGACACAUUUGGCAAUAAAGAAUACAGAGAGAUGCUCCUGGACCUGAACAAGAAGACAUAGUGCCAGGAUACUAUGAAGAAUCAUCAUGAGCACUGAUUGGUCUACCCCUUCACUAACCCAUCUGGGCUUCACAUCUCAGACAAAAACCAUGAACUGUGCUUAUGCUCUCCUCCCUGAAGAAGCCAUGACUACCCAGAUUCACAAGAAACUUUUCUGCUGGAUGAAGUUAUUCUGCCCUUUGGAAGGAUACCAUCUUGCCUCCUUGUAAAAUCAGAAUGGACUGAAGCUUGCUACCUCCUGAACAGAGAAUGCAGGUGGGAGGAAGACUAGGGGCUGGUCCUAGCUUCCAGCAUGUAAGACCUAAUUCUUCCCUUAAGUGACUUUUGGCAAGGAAUGACUGCCUCCUCAGUUGCAUCCACUAUGUUCAAGAGUUGCUUUAUCUCUAUUUGAACUGACUCUCCAACAUAACUUCACUGUGAAAUGCAUUUUACCAAUCAUACAGUAAAUAAAACACCCAUUGAGCAA
Marmota monax (woodchuck) is the source of this 1237-nucleotide long non-coding RNA. RefSeq lists it as uncharacterized. The transcript has 4 exons. Lineage: Eukaryota; Metazoa; Chordata; Mammalia; Rodentia; Sciuridae. The record is from RefSeq and is a predicted model, not a curated record.